AUGCACGCUGGCGGCGUGCCUAAUACCUGCAAGUCGAGCGAACGGACGAGAAGCUUGCUUUUCUGAUGUUAGCGGCGGACGGGUGAGUAACACGUGGAUAACCUACCUAUAAAACUGGGAUAACUUCGGGAAACCGGAGCUAAUACCGGAUAAUAUUUUGAACCGCAUGUUUCAAAAGUGAAAGACGGUCUUGCUGUCACUUAUAGAUGGAUCCGCGCUGCAUUAGCUAGUUGGUAAGUUAGCGGCUUACCAAGGCAACGAUGCAUAGCCGACCUGAGAGGGUGAUCGGCCACACUGGAACUGAGAAACGGUCCAGACUCCUACGGGAGGCAGCAGUAGGGAAUCUUCCGCAAUGGGCGAAAGCCUGACGGAGCAACGCCGCGUGAGUGAUGAAGGUCUUCGGAUCGUAAAACUCUGUUAUUAGGGAAGAACAUAUGUGUAAGUAACUGUGCACAUCUUGACGGUACCUAAUCAGAAAGCCACGGCUAACUACGUG
RNAcentral lists this ribosomal RNA (496 nucleotides) under uncultured bacterium. RNAcentral describes it as "partial 16S ribosomal RNA". It matches the Rfam family "Bacterial small subunit ribosomal RNA", at positions 29 to 507 of the family's 1533-position model. The record is from RNAcentral.